This 465-nucleotide ribosomal RNA is filed under the name Vreelandella stevensii. Its description in RNAcentral is "partial 16S ribosomal RNA". It matches the Rfam family "Bacterial small subunit ribosomal RNA", at positions 338 to 795 of the family's 1533-position model. The record is from RNAcentral. Lineage: Bacteria; Pseudomonadati; Pseudomonadota; Gammaproteobacteria; Oceanospirillales; Halomonadaceae.
CCUACGGGGGGCUGCAGUGGGGAAUAUUGGACAAUGGGAGGAACCCUGAUCCAGCCAUGCCGCGUGUGUGAAGAAGGCCCUCGGGUUGUAAAGCACUUUCAGUGAGGAAGAACGCCUGGUGGUUAAUACCCAUCAGGAAAGACAUCACUCACAGAAGAAGCACCGGCUAACUCCGUGCCAGCAGCCGCGGUAAUACGGAGGGUGCGAGCGUUAAUCGGAAUUACUGGGCGUAAAGCGCGCGUAGGUGGCUUGAUAAGCCGGUUGUGAAAGCCCCGGGCUCAACCUGGGAACGGCAUCCGGAACUGUCAAGCUAGAGUGCAGGAGAGGAAGGUAGAAUUCCCGGUGUAGCGGUGAAAUGCGUAGAGAUCGGGAGGAAUACCAGUGGCGAAGGCGGCCUUCUGGACUGACACUGACACUGAGGUGCGAAAGCGUGGGUAGCAAACAGGAUUAGAUACCCCGGUAGUC